AUUGAACGCUGGCGGCAUGCCUUACACAUGCAAGUCGAACGGUAACAGGUCUUCGGAUGCUGACGAGUGGCGAACGGGUGAGUAAUACAUCGGAACGUGCCCAGUCGUGGGGGAUAACGAAGCGAAAGCUUUGCUAAUACCGCAUACGAUCUACGGAUGAAAGCGGGGGAUCGCAAGACCUCGCGCGAUUGGAGCGGCCGAUGGCAGAUUAGGUAGUUGGUGGGGUAAAGGCUUACCAAGCCUACGAUCUGUAGCUGGUCUGAGAGGACGCCCAGCCACACUGGGACUGAGACACGGCCCAGACUCCUACGGGAGGCAGCAGUGGGGAAUUUUGGACAAUGGACGCAAGCCUGAUCCAGCAAUGCCGCGUGCAGGAUGAAGGCCUUCGGGUUGUAAACUGCUUUUGUACGGAACGAAAAGCUCUGGGUUAAUACCCUGGGGUCAUGACGGUACCGUAAGAAUAAGCACCGGCUAACUACGUGCCAGCAGCCGCCGUAA
Molecule: ribosomal RNA, 498 nt
Filed under: uncultured bacterium
Lineage: Bacteria
Description: partial 16S ribosomal RNA
Rfam family: Bacterial small subunit ribosomal RNA
Source: RNAcentral